GCAAGAGAGAAAAAAAAAACAGAGACGCAAAAACAGAGGAGGGAGAUCUGAAAAACGGAGGGAACAAAAACAACAAAAAAGAGAAAGAAACGAAGAAGGAGAGAAAGAGAAAGCUUUCCCCCAACAAAGCUGGAUUCGACCCCAUCUUCUUCACGUCCUUUCCUUCAUUGAACACCAUUUUUAUAGCCAUGUAAAGCUCCUCUCUCUUUACCCAAACCCAGCUACAAAAACAACCUAAAACCACCAUGAAUGAGCCUUGAAACUCCACAAAAAACCAGCAAAAAAAAAGAGCUUCAUUUUUCCAGCAAAAUAGCCGUCCAAACAGCCAUGAAAGCAGCCCCUUUUCUUCAUUAAAACUCCAUUGUUUCAGCCCGACGACCAACUGCUAAACCAUCCGAAAACAGUCACCAAAUCAUCGCCCAAGCCCAUCCCAGAACCUCUCGCACAAACACAUCCAUAGGUUCUCAAAACAAUAAGGUCUUCCAUCGAGUUUUAUCGUCGAGAAAGCUCCUGUUCGAUAUCUUUUCCAGUGAGGUUCUCGUUCAUCCGCGAUCCAGAUCCGUCGAGGUUGUUUGAACUCCGUCCGAUGACAUGUCUGCCUUCAAGUUGUAGCCGGCACCAUCCUUCGGUAAUUCGAACUUGGAGAUUUUUAUGUCAAUAAAGUGAAAAGUUUAUUCAAAAAAGGUCCGUCUUGUUCUUCUUUAAAGGUCCGUCUUGUUCUUCUUUAACAACUCGUCUAUUGAUUUCCACGAUGCUUCUUAUGUCAAUAUUUUAGUUAUUUUAUUUUGAUUUAUAAUGUGUUGUCCUAAUUGAUAUGUUUAUCCAUGUUAGAAAAACUAUUUUUUUCUUAAUUAUUGUUUUGAGAACAGUAUCUCUCAUGGUGGCGAGA
This 889-nucleotide long non-coding RNA is filed under the name Nicotiana tabacum (common tobacco). RNAcentral describes it as "long non-coding RNA (NTAB_LNC016077)". The record is from RNAcentral. Lineage: Eukaryota; Viridiplantae; Streptophyta; Magnoliopsida; Solanales; Solanaceae.